This 505-nucleotide ribosomal RNA is filed under the name uncultured bacterium. RNAcentral describes it as "bacterial SSU rRNA". It matches the Rfam family "Bacterial small subunit ribosomal RNA", at positions 21 to 518 of the family's 1533-position model. The record is from RNAcentral.
GGCUUAGGAUGAACGCUAGCGGCAGGCCUAACACAUGCAAGGUCGAGGGGUAACAGGGCGUAGCAAUACGCUGCUGACGACCGGCGCACGGGUGCGUAACGCGUAUGCAACCUACCCGUAACAGGGGGAUAACGGAGAGAAAUUUCCACUAAUACCCCGUAUAGUCGAGGGACCGCAUGGUUUUUCGACGAAAGCCUUGGUGGUUACGGAUGGGCAUGCGUGGCAUUAGAUAGUUGGCGGGGCAACGGCCCACCAAGUCGACGAUGCCUAGGGGAGCUGAGAGGCUAAUCCCCCACACUGGUACUGAGACACGGACCAGACUCCUACGGGAGGCAGCAGUGAGGAAUAUUGGUCAAUGGUCGGAAGACUGAACCAGCCAUGCCGCGUGAGGGAGGAAGGCCCUAUGGGUUGUAAACCUCUUUUGCCUCGGGGCAAUAAGGUUCAUGCGUGGACCGAUGAGAGUACGAGGCGAAUAAGCAUCGGCUAACUCCGUGCCAGCCGCAGC